AAGACCUUGCACUUUUGGAGCGGCCGAUGUCUGAUUAGCUAGUUGGUGGGGUAAUGGCCUACCAAAGCUUCGAUCAGUAGCUGGUCUGAGAGGACGGCCAGCCACACUGGGACUGAGACACGGCCCAGACUCCUACGGGAGGCAGCAGUGGGGAAUUUUGGACAAUGGGCGCAAGCCUGAUCCAGCCAUGCCGCGUGAGUGAAGAAGGCCUUCGGGUUGUAAAGCUCUUUCAGCCGGGAAGAAAAGGUUGCGACUAAUAAUCGCAAUCCAUGACGGUACCGAAAGAAGAAGCACCGGCUAACUACGUGCCAGCAGCCGCGGUAAUACGUAGGGUGCGAGCGUUAAUCGGAAUUACUGGGCGUAAAGGGUGCGCAGGCGGUUUUGUAAGUCAGAUGCGAAAUCCCCGGGCUUAACCUGGGAACU
Molecule: ribosomal RNA, 423 nt
Filed under: uncultured bacterium
Lineage: Bacteria
Description: bacterial SSU rRNA
Rfam family: Bacterial small subunit ribosomal RNA
Source: RNAcentral